GGAGGAAAGCAGGGGAUCGCAAGACCUUGCGCUCUUGGAGCGGCCGAUAUCUGAUUAGCUAGUUGGUGGGGUAAAGGCCCACCAAGGCGACGAUCAGUAGCUGGUCUGAGAGGACGACCAGCCACACUGGAACUGAGACACGGUCCAGACUCCUACGGGAGGCAGCAGUGGGGAAUUUUGGACAAUGGGGGAAACCCUGAUCCAGCCAUUCCGCGUGAGUGAAGAAGGCCUUCGGGUUGUAAAGCUCUUUCGCAAGGAAAGAAAACUUACCCUCUAACAUAGGGUGAGGCUGACGGUACCUUGAGAAGAAGCACCGGCUAACUACGUGCCAGCAGCCGCGGUAAUACGUAGGGCGCGAGCGUUAAUCGGAAUUACUGGGCGUAAAGCGUGCGCAGGCGGUUCUGCAAGUCAGAUGUGAAAUCCCCGGGCUCAACCUGGGAACUGCGUUUGAAACUACAAAGCUAG
RNAcentral lists this ribosomal RNA (465 nucleotides) under uncultured bacterium. RNAcentral's name for it is "bacterial SSU rRNA". It matches the Rfam family "Bacterial small subunit ribosomal RNA", at positions 198 to 644 of the family's 1533-position model. The record is from RNAcentral.